GACGGAGGAGGCAAGCGUUAUCCGGAAUUAUUGGGCGUAAAGCGUCCGCAGGUGGUUAUACAAGUCUGUUGUCAAAGAGCGAGGCUCAACUUCGUAUCGGCAAUGGAAACUGUAGGACUAGAGUGCGGUAGGGGUAGAGGGAAUUCCCGGUGUAGCGGUGAAAUGCGUAGAUAUCGGGAAGAACACCAGUGGCGAAAGCGCUCUACUGGGCCUGCACUGACACUGAGGGACGAAAGCUAGGGGAGCGAAAGGG
RNAcentral lists this ribosomal RNA (253 nucleotides) under uncultured bacterium. RNAcentral's name for it is "partial 16S ribosomal RNA". It matches the Rfam family "Bacterial small subunit ribosomal RNA", at positions 524 to 776 of the family's 1533-position model. The record is from RNAcentral.